This 24-nucleotide microRNA is filed under the name Ananas comosus (pineapple). RNAcentral's name for it is "microRNA s0325_c103". Lineage: Eukaryota; Viridiplantae; Streptophyta; Magnoliopsida; Poales; Bromeliaceae. The record is from RNAcentral.
GAUCACCUUUAUACUCAUAAGUCG